GGAGCUCUCUUAUCUGUAGGGAGCCCGAGGAGGCAGAGUUGGGUACCCUCUGCCCUGGUUUGGAGCUUGGAGUGUUCUCUGCCCUUUGCCCUCCACCCUCAGAGUCCCAAGAGCAAGUUGCUCCCCCCCCAACCCCCAUCCUCAGACCCACUGCCCCCUCCAGUCUUACCACAUAGCGCAUUUCCCAGGCCUGGAUAGUAGCUUUGAAAGGGAAGAUAACCGUUUUCCUUUCUGCCUUGCGGAGUGGCAACAGACUCUGUUUGCCCUGAAAAAAGUGAAGAGGGCUUGCUGCUCUACUCAAAGGUCCCAGGUUCAGUUCCCAGCACCCACAUCACACAUCACGCAUAGAGACCCAUACAAAAACAUUUUAAAUAUCAUUAUAGAUAAAGAUACUAAGAGCCCUCAUUCUCCACAUGGGGCACAAUAAGGUGUCCUCUGGCAGGCAGAGUUGAGUUCCCUCACCAGCUUCUUCCUGCGUGCAUCAAUCUGACAGAAGUAGGUGCUGAUGUAGAUGUUGUCAAAGCGGAUGUCCCAGUUGUAGUGGUCCAUGUAGGAGAAGGCUCUGUGAGGGAAAGGCAGGGCUGUCUCCAUCUUCCUGCAUCAGUGUCUCCCCAUUCACACCCAGCCACCGGCUUCUGUUAGACACAGUCAUCACAUCAACCGGCAUUCACAGAGCAUCCCUGUCUCUGAAGCCUGGGACAGGUGACCCGGGCAUGAAGGAAGCAGGCUCCACCCUGCCUCUGGUUGUUCAUAGAUAUCCACCCAUGCGAUUGCUGAGACCCGACAGAGAAAGGGAGGGCGUGGCCAGUCUGUAAGUUAGGGGUGGACAUUUGUCUUGCAGGAAGAAUGAAAUAGAUGCAUGGAGUCAGGAAACCCUCCAAAUUGCAGGAAUCACUCAGAACUAUGGCUCCCAUAUUCAUUUUAUUUAUUUGGCUUGCCUUGAACUUGUAGACAUCUGCCUGUCUCUGCCUCUUGAGUGCCGAGACUAAAGGAGAUCUCCACCAUGCCCUCCAGCUUUAUCUGCUCUACACCUCAAACAAAAUUCAGAUCCAGACACCUCCCAUUUUCCAGCACUCCCUGCCCUUCCUGACUUCCCUUGAGCUGUGUGUGUGUGGAGACAUAUGUGUACAUAUGUGAGUAUUCUCUGUGUAGCUCCCAAAGUCCCGAAAAAUACUUGCUUCCUAAGGAAAAAUUCUAAUUGUGAAAACGUGUUAAAAUUUCAAAAAUAUGUUAAACUGCAAACUAUGAAACAUAAAUCCCACUUAUGAAG
RNAcentral lists this long non-coding RNA (1270 nucleotides) under Mus musculus (house mouse). RNAcentral's name for it is "long non-coding RNA chr3:89353628-89354898". Lineage: Eukaryota; Metazoa; Chordata; Mammalia; Rodentia; Muridae. The record is from RNAcentral.